UCGAGAAUUUUUCUCAAUGGGCGCAAGCCUGAAGGAGCGACGCCGCGUGGAGGAUGAAGGUCUUCGGAUUGUAAACUCCUGUCAUUAGGGAACAAAGCUUCCGGUUAACUGCCGGGAAGCCUGAUAGUACCUGAAGAGGAAGAGACGGCUAACUCUGUGCCAGCAGCCGCGGUAAUACAGAGGUCUCAAGCGUUGUUCGGAUUCAUUGGGCGUAAAGGGUGCGUAGGUGGCAAGGUAAGUCGGGUGUGAAAUCCCGGGGCUCAACCCCGGAACUGCACUCGAUACUGCCCUGCUCGAGUACUGGAGAGGAGACUGGAAUUUACGGUGUAGCAGUGAAAUGCGUAGAUAUCGUAAGGAAGACCAGUGGCGAAGGCGAGUCUCUGGACAGUUACUGACACUGAGGCACGAAGGCCAGGGGAGCAAACGGGAUUAGAUACCCCCGUAGUCC
This 448-nucleotide ribosomal RNA is filed under the name uncultured bacterium. Its description in RNAcentral is "bacterial SSU rRNA". It matches the Rfam family "Bacterial small subunit ribosomal RNA", at positions 355 to 796 of the family's 1533-position model. The record is from RNAcentral.